Molecule: ribosomal RNA, 497 nt
Filed under: uncultured bacterium
Lineage: Bacteria
Description: partial 16S ribosomal RNA
Rfam family: Bacterial small subunit ribosomal RNA
Source: RNAcentral
GAUGAACGCUGGCGGCGUGCCUAAUACAUGCAAGUCGAGCGAACAGACGAGGAGCUUGCUCCUCUGACGUUAGCGGCGGACGGGUGAGUAACACGUGGAUAACCUACCUAUAAGACUGGGAUAACUUCGGGAAACCGGAGCUAAUACCGGAUAAUAUAUUGCACCGCAUGGUUCAAUAGUGAAAGACGGUUUUGCUGUCACUUAUAGAUGGAUCCGCGCCGCAUUAGCUAGUUGGUAAGGUAACGGCUUACCAAGGCAACGAUGCGUAGCCGACCUGAGAGGGUGAUCGGCCACACGGGAACGGAGACAGGGUCCAGACUCCUACGGGAGGCAGCAGUAGGGAAUCUUACGCAAGGGGCGAAAGCCUGACGGAGCAACGCCGCGUGAGUGAUGAAGGUGUUCGGAUCGGAAAACUCUGUUAUUAGGGAAGAACAAAUGUGUAAGUAACUAUGCACGUCUUGACGGUACCGAAUCAGAAAGCCACGGCUAACUACGUG